RNAcentral lists this small RNA (1056 nucleotides) under Rattus norvegicus (Norway rat). RNAcentral describes it as "uncharacterized LOC102552716". The record is from RNAcentral. Lineage: Eukaryota; Metazoa; Chordata; Mammalia; Rodentia; Muridae.
GACUCGGAACCGUUUAACUCCAGUUUCAAGGGAUCCCGCGCCCUCUGCUGGUCUCCACUGGUACUGCAUACACACAGCUCACAGACACAUGCUGGCAGCGUGCUCAAACAUGUAAGAUAGCGUGAAUUUUAAGGAGGUGAGAGAGCCUCAGGCUAUGACAGGAAGGAACAAAGCAGCAGGGCUCUGAGGAGAUCAAGAAGUCUAUUGACAUCAUCAUCUUUGGUGAGCCAGAUCGGCUUGGAGAAGUAUUUGGGUUGGGGACCUAUGCAGAGGCUUCCGGGUGAGAACGGUGUUCCCCUAAAUUCAAAGGCUGCAAUAGUGUUAAAAGGUCAGAAUAACCAUUGUAUUGCGUCUUCCCGGGACAGAGAUGCAAUGCCAAGGGACCGCCAGAAAAAUACAGUGUUCAUUCGGCUGCUAUUUUGCUUCCAUUUGUUCUGUCUGUAAGCAUUGUUGCUACGCUAUUGGGAAAGGUGCUGUGCUGAUACAACUGACGUUAAGCUUUCGUUACAAAGAAGCAGAUCUUUAGAGAGCUGGACCACAAAACACGACUGGUUAAUUCCAGUCAGGAUCUGAACCCUGGUCCACGUAGCCCGCACACCACGUCCUCUGUGGAACCCUUCCUGCUGCCUGGACUGACGAAGACCACAGCAGUCUAGCGAAGACCCAACACAGCCCUAGAAGAACAGUCACUGGGCUGCUUACAACACAACCUUAGGGCUGUUAGCUGGGUUCACCUCUGACUCCCAGACCUGGAAUGUUAAACCCUGCCUACGUCUCUUCUACCCAGCCAUUGGCUAUCAGCAUCUUUAUUCAUCAAUCAAAAAUAAUUUGGGGGCAAGGUCACAUAGUGUCACUUGGGUCUACGUGCAGAUUUUUUCGGGCAACCAGGUCUUGGGGGCCUGAUAUUAGCAUCAGAAUAUAAGCUGCACCAGGCCAGCCAACUACAGAGAACAGCAGUGGGGGUCAUGAAUUCACUCCUGAGACUACAGGAUGAAGGGCACCUUCCUCUGUUUAACUUCAGCUUGAAAUUCUCUGCUACUGUCAUAACAGCUUCAU